RNAcentral lists this ribosomal RNA (720 nucleotides) under uncultured anaerobic ammonium-oxidizing bacterium. Its description in RNAcentral is "bacterial SSU rRNA". It matches the Rfam family "Bacterial small subunit ribosomal RNA", at positions 565 to 1274 of the family's 1533-position model. The record is from RNAcentral.
GAGCACGUAGGUGGGUUUGUAAGUCAGAUGUGAAAGCCUUCUGUUCAACGGAAGAAUUGCAUCUGAAACUGCAAGUCUUGAGUGUAGGAGGGGAGAAUGGAACUUCUGGUGGAGCGGUGAAAUGCGUAGAUAUCAGAAGGAACGCCGGCGGCGAAAGCGAUUCUCUGGCCUAUUACUGACACUCAGUGUGCGAAAGCUAGGGGAGCAAACGGGAUCAGAUACCCCGGUAGUCCUAGCCGUAAACGAUGGGCACUAAGUAGAGGGAAUUACCGAUGUUCUCUCUGCCGUAGCUAACGCAUUAAGUGCCCCGCCUGGGGAGUACGGCCGCAAGGCUAAAACUCAAAAGAAUUGACGGGGGCUCGCACAAGCGGUGGAGCAUGUGGCUUAAUUCGAUGCAACGCGAAAAACCUUACCGGGGCUUGACAUGGUAGAGGUAGGAACCCGAAAGGGUAACGAACGGUAUCCAGUCCGUAGCUAUCACAGGUGUUGCAUGGCUGUCGUCAGCUCGUGUCGUGAGACGUUGGGUUAAGUCCCCUAACGAGCGAAACCCUUGUUUUUAGUUACCAGCGGGUUAUGCCGGGUACUCUAGAAAGACUGCCGUCGUCAAGACGGAGGAAGGUGGGGAUGACGUCAAGUCAUCAUGGCCCUUAUGCCCCGGGCUGCACACGUGCUACAAUGGUCGGUACAAACGGAUGCGAAGCCGAGAGGUGAAGCGAAUCC